Ceratotherium simum simum (southern white rhinoceros) is the source of this 121-nucleotide non-coding RNA. The record is from RefSeq and is a predicted model, not a curated record. NCBI's taxonomy places the organism in Eukaryota, Metazoa, Chordata, Mammalia, Perissodactyla, Rhinocerotidae.
CUAUAACAAAAUACCACAGUCUGGAUGACUUAUAAACAACAGAAAUCUAUUUCUCACAGUUCUAGAUGCUGGAAGUUCAAGAUUAAGGUGCUAGCAUGGUCGAAUUUGAGUGAGAUCCCUU